GAUGAAGAACGUAGCGAAAUGCGAUAAGUAAUGUGAAUUGCAGAGUUCAGUGAAUCAUCGAAUCUUUGAACGCACAUUGCGCCCGUUAGUAUUCUGACGGGCAUGCCUGUCCGAGCGUCAUUUCAACCAUCAAGCCCCGUGCUUGUGUUGGGGAGCUGCGGGCCCUCCGGGGCGCGCAGGCCCUGAAAUGCAGUGGCGGGCUCGCUGACACACCGAGCGUAGUAGCAUAAUUCUCGCUCUGGGCGUGCUGCGGGUACCUGCCGUGAAACGACCACUCGAGAGAGAGGACACCCAAAGGUUGACCUCGGAUCAGGUAGGAAUACCCGCUGAACUUAAGCAUAUCAAUAAGCGGAGGA
RNAcentral lists this unclassified non-coding RNA (356 nucleotides) under soil metagenome. RNAcentral describes it as "partial contains 5.8S ribosomal RNA, internal transcribed spacer 2, and large subunit ribosomal RNA". The stretch from base 1 to 120 matches the Rfam family "5.8S ribosomal RNA", at positions 35 to 154 of the family's 154-position model. The record is from RNAcentral.